UUUAAAACUAACCUGCUAUUUUUAGGAUUUAGAAGCCCCUAUUUAUAGGCGGCGUUCCUAUUGCGUUUACGUAAUGCGAAUUUACAAAUUUAGCAAAAUCCAACCCUUAAGGUUAUACGUUAACAUUUAAAUAUUAAUAAAUUUGCACGUAAUAAUUAUGACCCCCUUAAUAAGGGCGUCCUCGUCCUAAAUAGCAAUUUUAAAUAUAAAACGGGGUAAUUUUUAAUAAACGCAAAUAAAACGCAAUUGUUUCGCGUGGGUUCCCAUUGGUAAACGGCGGUAUUGGGUUACAAAUAAUAGUUAUAACGUUAACGAUUCGUAAACCCCACCUGGUUUAAAUAUUAAUUACCUCCUUAAUUUUUAACAAAAAAAAUUUUCAAUUAAAUUUUUUUUUCCUUUAUUUUUAUUUUCCGAUACAAAAUUUCGUUAAUUUUUUGCACGCGUUAUUUUUACGUUUUGGUCGCGUUUUUUUACAUUAAAUCGAUUUUUGUUAUUUCUAUUAUAUUUUUUAAACCUGGUUUUGUGGCAGGUUUUGCCCAAAAAAACGCUCGCGUUUCCCCUGCGCCCGAUUUUGUUAAAAUUAAUAUUGGUAUAACCCAUAACCGCAUUAUUUGCAUAAAAUAUUUCCGUCGCGCCGUUAAAAUCGCCAAAAACACCGAAAAUCUCCCCGAUUUUAAAUAUAUUUAAAAAACGUUUUUUAAAACGGGUAGGAUAAACAAAUUUUGUUUUUAUUAUAAAAAAAAUUUAUAUAUUUGCAAAUUGGUAAAUUGCGUUAUUUUUGCGUUUCCCUGUUUUUUGCCGUUUUGCGAUUUUUUUGGUUAAUUUAUAUUAGGUAAUUGCAAUUAUAAAAAGCAAUUUCGUGGACCUUUUUUAUUUAUUUAAUAUUAUAAAAUUCGUUAUCCAAUUUAACAUUGGCAAAAAUUUUCCUACCGAAAUUAAAAAAUUAUUGGGGGUUUUGGUCGAUUUUAUAUUAUUUACCGAAUAUUUGGAAAUUAAAAAACGCAAACGUUUAAAUUAAAUUAACCCGUUUAAAAAUAAAACCAAAUAUUUUCGUAUUUUAAACGAAAUAAAAAUUGCAAGAAAUUAUUAUUUUAAAAUUGUAAAAAUUACGUUUUUUAAUUUAAUAAAUUUUAACGUUUUUAUUUUAAAAUUUUUUCGAUUAA
Molecule: small RNA, 1163 nt
Filed under: Pyricularia oryzae
Lineage: Eukaryota; Fungi; Ascomycota; Sordariomycetes; Magnaporthales; Pyriculariaceae
Description: Magnaporthe oryzae sRNA M_BR32_EuGene_00128021
Source: RNAcentral